GAGUUUGAUCUUGGCUCAGGAUGAACGCUGGCGGCGUGCCUAACACAUGCAAGUCGAACGGGGUUAUUUUGGAAAGUUCCUUCGGGGACUGGAAUCUAUAACCUAGUGGCGGACGGGUGAGUAACGCGUGAGCAAUCUGCCUCUAGGAGGGGGAUAACAGUCGGAAACGGCUGCUAAUACCGCAUAUGCCUUAAUCUUCACAUGGAGAUAGGAGGGAAAGGAGCAAUCUGCUGAUAGAUGGG
This 242-nucleotide ribosomal RNA is filed under the name uncultured bacterium. RNAcentral describes it as "partial 16S ribosomal RNA". It matches the Rfam family "Bacterial small subunit ribosomal RNA", at positions 9 to 229 of the family's 1533-position model. The record is from RNAcentral.